GCUAGGAGUGGUGGUGUACACCUGUAGUCCCAGCUACUUGGGAGGCUGAGGUAGGAGGAUUGCUUGAGCCCAGGAGGUCAAGGCUACAGUGGCCUGAGAUUGUGCCACUGCACUCCAGCCUGGGCGACAGAGCAAGACCCUGUCUCAA
RNAcentral lists this non-coding RNA (148 nucleotides) under Chlorocebus sabaeus (green monkey). The record is from Rfam by way of RNAcentral. Lineage: Eukaryota; Metazoa; Chordata; Mammalia; Primates; Cercopithecidae.